Molecule: long non-coding RNA, 1506 nt
Organism: Triticum dicoccoides
Lineage: Eukaryota; Viridiplantae; Streptophyta; Magnoliopsida; Poales; Poaceae
Exons: 3
Source: RefSeq, a predicted model, not a curated record
GUCUCUAGAAUCUCUUCCUCUCUGGACUCUUCUCGAUCCCAUUUUUUGGUGGCGCUGCCGUCUCCUCCCCGGUCACCCUUCCUUCCCUCCCCGUCCCCAGUCUAUCACCUUCCCUCUCCUCCUCUCCUAAUGGACCACCAUUAUAGUGGCGACUACUCGUGACAUGUUAGGGCAUUUGUGGUUGCUCGUGGAGGCAGAUCAUGGCAGUAUUGGCGGUGGCAGGUCGCCGCUGGAUAGUGAAAAAUGUAUCUAUGGAAGUCAACAACCUCCCUCCCCCCUCUCCUCUCUCUCUCCAUGAAUUUUUCCCGAUCUGAUUAUGUUAAUUUGGAUUCCCUCUCUUUCUGUUUGUACGUGUAUACAUUGUUGACAUCUGUUUAUUGAUAUUCAUCGGCCAUGCUAAGUUAUGUAUUACUGCAGAUGGGAUUGUAUCUUUGACUAUACCAGAAGUGAAUAUGUGUGUCUCUGCAGGUAUUUUUGUAUUUUUUAUGUGCCAGAGGUGUUUGCUCAAAUGCCAACGUGGUUUUGUUGUGCAAACUAAUUCCAAAAUAGACAAGUUCACUCGAAAUUUUCAGAUUUUAGAAUGCAACUAGAAACCCUGGAAGUUGGUAUUCGUGUUUCUGCAAUGAACUUGCUUGUGCAGCUCAUCAUCAUAUUUUCAAUUGUCACAAUCUUUCUAACGAACAGAGCUACCAUGAUUUCCAUAUUUAAUUUAAUUUAUUUUACACAUUAUAGGUUCUAUAAAACUAUGUUUAAUUCUAAAGAACAGAGCUACCAUGAUUUCCAUAUUUAAUUUAAUUUAUUUUCCACAUUAGAUGCAUCAAGUGUACAUAGGAAUUGCCUUUCGGAAGUUGUACAGAUUGAAGAGAUAAGCUCCAAGUUUGCAGUUGAUACAUGAGAAGAUCAGUUUCAGUCGCAUUCACUGUAUGAUAGCUACAGUGGCGUGGCAUGGCAGCAGCAGCGUCUUGUGGCAGGGCAUUUCAACGGCCAUUAGUGUGUGUGCGUACAUGUGCUCGUGGUGGUGUUUCAUGGCACAAACCUACUAAGCAAGGCACAAACUUUCAAUAUAUAUUGCGAUAUUCCCUGGCUGCAUGGCCCCUCCCCUAGCUGUUGUGAGCUAUCUUCUUUCAUGUCUUAUUGACAGCAUGAUAAUUAGGGAUUUUUUUUUUUGCACACCUUUUGUUAGCCUGUUCUCUUCUGUAAGACUGAUAAAGCUGGGGUGCAGAGUUGCAACACGAUAUCUAGGUCCAGGGCAUUGCAUACUUCUGUAACGGACCUGCUCACCGCACAUUAAUCUUAAUUAAUGUCUAAACGAAGUUGAUAUUACUUUUAUCCUUAUACUUUUAUCGGAUUGGGGAAGGCCACGGGCCAUCACGCUGCCGUGCUAUGGUGAAGCGGGAGGAAGGCUUAGACUGUGCUUCGGGCAUUGCUGGAGCCUGGCCACGGGAGCUGCUACGGUUGUCAGGCAUGCUUUUGUUUUUCCUUUCCUUUCUCCUGCAUUUGAAAAAA